This 459-nucleotide ribosomal RNA is filed under the name uncultured bacterium. RNAcentral's name for it is "partial 16S ribosomal RNA". It matches the Rfam family "Bacterial small subunit ribosomal RNA", at positions 338 to 795 of the family's 1533-position model. The record is from RNAcentral.
CCUACGGGUGGCAGCAGUGAGGAAUAUUGGUCAAUGGCCGCAAGGCUGAACCAGCCAAGUCGCGUGAGGGAUGACGGUCCUAUGGAUUGUAAACCUCUUUUGUCAGGGAGCAAAGGGCGCCACGUGUGGCGUUUCGCGAGUACCUGAAGAAAAAGCAUCGGCUAACUCCGUUCCAUCAGCCGCGGUAAUACGGAGGAGGCGAGCGUUAUCCGGAUUUAUUUGGUUUAAAGGGUGCGCAGGCGGAAGGUCAAGUCAGCGGUAAAAUUACGGGGCUCAACCCCGUCGUGCCGUUGAAACUGCAUCCCUUGAGUGCGCGAGAAGUAUGCGGAAUGCGUGGUGUAGCGGUGAAAUGCAUAGAGAUCACGCAGAACUCCGAUUGCGAAGGCAGCAUACCGGCGCGCAACUGACGCUCAUGCACGAAAGCGUGGGUAUCGAACAGGAUUAGAUACCCCGGUAGUC